CCUACGGGUGGCAGCAGUGGGGGAUAUUGCACAAUGGGGGGAACCCUGAUGCAGCGACGCCGCGUGGGUGAAGAAGCGCCUCGGCGCGUAAAGCCCCGUCAGCAGGGAAGAAAAUGACGGUACCUGAAGAAGAAGCCCCGGCUAACUACGGGCCAGCAGCCGCGGGACUACGGAGGGGGCCAGCGUUAUCCGGAUUUACGGGGUGUAAUGGGGGCGCAGGCGGGGAUGCAAGCCAGGAGUGAAAGCCCGGGGCCCAACCCCGGGACUGCUCUUGGAACUGCGUGGCUGGAGUGCAGGAGGGGCAGGCGGAAUUCGUGGUGUAGCGGUGAAAUGCGUAGAUAUCAGGAGGAACACCGAUGGCGAAGGCGGCCUGCUGGACUGCAACUGACGUUGAGGCCCGAAAGCGUGGGGAGCAAACAGGAUUAGAUACCCUAGUAGUC
This 440-nucleotide ribosomal RNA is filed under the name uncultured bacterium. RNAcentral's name for it is "partial 16S ribosomal RNA". It matches the Rfam family "Bacterial small subunit ribosomal RNA", at positions 338 to 795 of the family's 1533-position model. The record is from RNAcentral.